This 433-nucleotide ribosomal RNA is filed under the name uncultured bacterium. RNAcentral describes it as "partial 16S ribosomal RNA". It matches the Rfam family "Bacterial small subunit ribosomal RNA", at positions 29 to 507 of the family's 1533-position model. The record is from RNAcentral.
AACGAACGCUGGCGGCAUGCCUAACACAUGCAAGUCGAACGAGACCUUCGGGUCUAGUGGCGCACGGGUGCGUAACGCGUGGGAACCUGCCCUUAGGUUCGGAAUAACUCCCCGAAAGGGGUGCUAAUACCGGAUAAUGUCUUCGGACCAAAGAUUUAUCGCCUUUGGAUGGGCCCGCGUUGGAUUAGCUAGUUGGUAGGGCAAAAGCCUACCAAGGCGACGAUCCAUAGCUGGUCUGAGAGGAUGAUCAGCCACACUGGGACUGAGACACGGCCCAGACUCCUACGGGAGGAAGCAGUGGGGAAUAUUGGACAAUGGGCGAAAGCCUGAUCCAGCAAUGCCGCGUGAGUGAUGAAGGCCUUAGGGUUGUAAAGCUCUUUUACCCGGGAUGAUAAUGACAGUACCGGGAGAAUAAGCGCCGGCUAACUCCGUG